This 2608-nucleotide small RNA is filed under the name Pongo abelii (Sumatran orangutan). Its description in RNAcentral is "processed transcript". The record is from RNAcentral. Lineage: Eukaryota; Metazoa; Chordata; Mammalia; Primates; Hominidae.
UGGGGAUUACUGAAGAAGAAAGAGAAAGCCCCUGUCCUGGAAGAGCUUAGACUUAGUUGGGAAAACUAUACUAACAUUGAAAUACUUAACACUUGGCAAACAGAAUAUCAACAAUGUAAUUUAACCUAAUAUGAACCAAACUCUUACAUGCUAAGAGAAUGUGAAACAAAAGUUUAAUCAGAGUGGGAUAAGGUUAUAAUGAGGAAAACUUCUUGGAGGAGGUGAGUUUUAGGCAGGAUUUGGAACAGGGGUUGUGGAAAAGUUGAGAGAAAUCAUUAUAAAUGUGGGCAGUAGCAUUUGCAAAGACCUUGAGAUGGGAACAUUUAUAAGAACAUGGGAAUGAAAUUUGUUUGACUGGAUUAGGAGAAUGUUGAAGUUGGGUGAGAUGGUCCACUUGGUGGAGAGUCUAGUAGACCCUGCUUCUGGCAGGUGGCUAUUUGCAAGGUUGUGUCAUAUUCCCCUGGGAAUAGCCAGAAAAUGCUGGUAGGGGCUAGGAUAAUUCUUCCCUUCUCCCCACGGGGAAGGAUACAGCUUUUCUUUCAUCUUGGGUUCCCUUAGGAGGUGUUUGGUGAUGACUCUGAGAUCUCUAAAGAAUCAUCAGGAGUAAAGAAGCGACGAAUACCCCGUUUUGAGGAGGUGGAAGAAGAGCCAGAGGUGAUCCCUGGGCCUCCAUCAGAGAGCCCUGGCAUGCUGACUAAGCUCCAGAUCAAACAGAUGAUGGAGGCAGCAACACGACAAAUCGAGGAGAGGAAAAAACAGCUGAGCUUCAUUAGCCCCCCUACACCUCAGCCAAAGACUCCUUCUUCCUCCCAACCAGAGCGACUUCCAAUUGGCAACACUAUUCAGCCCUCCCAGGCUGCCACUUUCAUGAACGAUGCCAUUGAGAAGGCAAGGAAAGCAGCUGAACUACAAGCUCGAAUCCAAGCCCAGCUGGCACUGAAGCCAGGACUCAUCGGCAAUGCCAACAUGGUGGGCCUGGCUAAUCUCCAUGCCAUGGGCAUUGCUCCCCCGAAGGUGGAGUUAAAAGACCAAACAAAACCUACACCACUGAUCCUGGAUGAGCAAGGGCGCACUGUAGAUGCAACAGGCAAGGAGAUUGAGCUGACACACCGCAUGCCUACUCUGAAAGCCAAUAUUCGUGCUGUGAAGAGGGAACAAUUCAAGCAACAACUAAAGGAAAAGCCAUCAGAAGACAUGGAAUCCAAUACCUUUUUUGACCCCCGAGUCUCCAUUGCCCCUUCCCAGCGCCAGAGACGCACUUUUAAAUUCCAUGACAAGGGCAAAUUUGAGAAGAUUGCUCAGCGAUUACGGACAAAGGCUCAACUGGAGAAGCUACAGGCAGAGAUUUCACAAGCAGCUCGAAAAACAGGCAUCCAUACUUCGACUAGGCUUGCCCUCAUUGCUCCUAAGAAGGAGCUAAAGGAAGGAGAUAUUCCUGAAAUUGAGUGGUGGGACUCUUACAUAAUCCCCAAUGGCUUUGAUCUUACAGAGGAAAAUCCCAAGAGAGAAGAUUAUUUUGGAAUCACAAAUCUUGUUGAACAUCCAGCCCAGCUCAAUCCUCCAGUUGACAAUGACACACCAGUUACUCUGGGAGUGUAUCUUACCAAGAAGGAACAGAAAAAACUUCGGAGACAAACAAGGAGGGAAGCACAGAAGGAACUACAAGAAAAAGUCAGGCUGGGCCUGAUGCCUCCUCCAGAACCCAAAGUGAGAAUUUCUAAUUUGAUGCGAGUAUUAGGAACAGAAGCUGUUCAAGACCCCACGAAGGUAGAAGCCCACGUCAGAGCUCAGAUGGCAAAAAGACAGAACCCUGCCUCUGAUCUUCAAUGCCUUUCUCACUUGUGGAUGUCCUUCCUGUCACGACAGAGCGCAUGAAGAGGCCAAUGCUGCCCGAAAACUCACAGCAGAACAGAGAAAGGUCAAGAAAAUUAAAAAGCUUAAAGAAGACAUUUCACAGGGGGUACACAUAUCUGUAUAUAGAGUUCGAAAUUUGAGCAACCCAGCCAAGAAGUUCAAGAUUGAAGCCAAUGCUGGGCAACUGUACCUGACAGGGGUGGUGGUACUGCACAAGGAUGUCAACGUGGUAGUAGUGGAAGGGGGCCCCAAGGCCCAGAAGAAAUUUAAGCGUCUUAUGCUGCAUCGGAUAAAGUGGGAUGAACAGACAUCUAACACGAAGGGAGAUGAUGAUGAGGAGUCUGAUGAGGAAGCUGUGAAGAAAACCAACAAAUGUGUACUAGUCUGGGAGGGUACAGCCAAAGACCGGAGCUUUGGAGAGAUGAAGUUUAAACAGUGUCCUACAGAGAACAUGGCUCGUGAGCAUUUCAAAAAGCAUGGGGCUGAACACUACUGGGACCUUGCGCUGAGUGAAUCUGUGUUAGAGUCCACUGAUUGAGACUACUGCAAGCCCUUGCCUCUCCCCUCUUGCCUUUGUCUCUUCAGUCCUCUCACUUAUUCUAUUUCCCAACCCACUCCCACUUGUUUGUGUGAUCUCAGAACUGUGCCAAGCAGACAUUGGGACAAAGGGAGAGUAUCUUGCUCCCCUCCCGAGUCAGCCUGGUGUUGCCCUUUAUUCCCCUUAUGUGCAUAUGAUUAAAGAGUUAUUUUUAAA